AUUUACAUAAUUUAUAUAAAAUAUAGCUUUUUCAUAGCUAAAAAAGAAACUCUAUUCUUGUAAAUA
This 66-nucleotide transfer RNA is filed under the name Scolytinae sp. BMNH 1040052. Its description in RNAcentral is "tRNA-Glu". Lineage: Eukaryota; Metazoa; Arthropoda; Insecta; Coleoptera; Curculionidae. The record is from RNAcentral.